Molecule: long non-coding RNA, 613 nt
Organism: Drosophila obscura
Lineage: Eukaryota; Metazoa; Arthropoda; Insecta; Diptera; Drosophilidae
Exons: 3
Source: RefSeq, a predicted model, not a curated record
UGAUUCCUUAUUAAAUUUUAGCAGAAAAAAAAUUGAAAAUAUGUCGGAAAGUCCUGAGCGAGAACAAGUCCUAUUGCAACUGUGGUGAUGUGACUGCUUCUAUGGAGCGCCUUGAGGCAUCGGUCACAGCUUCUAUGGAGCGCCUUGAGGCAUCGGUCACAGCUUCUAUGGAGCGCCUUGAGGCAUAAUUUACAGCUACUGUGGAGCGCUUUGAGGCAUCCAUGGGUGGCCUUUCUGCUGAUGUGUGCUCUUUACGGGCUGACCAUAAUAUAACUCAAAGGCAAAUGCAAGUGUUGGUCGAAGCCGUCGCAGAGCAAGCCGGCAACCUAAAAGGUCUGGUGAGGCAGCAUGGAAAACUAUGUUACAAUCUUUCCCGGUACUAUCUGUCCUGGGACUGGUACAGAUGGACAAAGAUAUAAACAGCAAACAAACAAAAUUUUGUUUAUUCUAAUUGUAUUUUUACAGAUUGAAGCAAUAAAAACUAUUAUCCUGCCGAACGGUAUUUUAAAGAAUUGUAAAAAUAUUCUUUCUAAUGCCGUUGUGUUAGCCUAUAACGUGGAUGGAGUCCAAGGCAAGUCGGCGCUGAAAAAUCAUAAGAAUUUUUAUGGAGUGU